GGUGAACGCUGGCGGUAUGCCUAAGACAUGCAAGUCGCACGGACUGUUUUUGCAGUUAGUGGCGGACGGGUGAGCAACACGUAGGUGACCUACCCCAAAGUCUGGGACAACUAGGAGAAAUCUUAGCUAAUCCGGGAUGUGAACCUCGGUUUUGACCGAUGUUUAAAGAUUGGGCGCUUUGGGAUGGGCCUGCGGCGCAUCAGGUAGUUGGUGGGGUAAUGGCCUACCAAGCCGACGACGCGUAGCUGGUCUGAGAGGACGAUCAGCCACAGGGGUACUGAGACACGGACCCCACUCCUACGGGAGGCAGCAGUUAGGAAUCUUCCGCAAUGGGCGAAAGCCUGACGGAGCGAUACCGCUUGAAGGACGAAGCCUUUCGGGGUGUAAACUUCUGAACUCGGGACGAUAAUGACGGUACCGAGGUAAUAGCACCGGCUAACUCCGUGCCAGCAGCCGCGGUAAUACGGAGGGUGCGAGCGUUACCCGGAUUUACUGGGUGUAAAGGGCGUGUAGGCGGUCUUUCAAGUCCGAUGCUAAAGACCGAAGCUCAACUUCGGGGGUGCGUUGGAUACUGUGAGGCUAGACGGUCGGAGAGGGUAGCGGAAUUUCCGGA
Molecule: ribosomal RNA, 613 nt
Filed under: uncultured Meiothermus sp.
Lineage: Bacteria; Thermotogati; Deinococcota; Deinococci; Thermales; Thermaceae
Description: bacterial SSU rRNA
Rfam family: Bacterial small subunit ribosomal RNA
Source: RNAcentral